GUCUAAAAGUAAAAGUGUUACUCUAAGUUAUGAGGAAAGUCUUCAACUUAAGGGAUUAAUUGAGAUUGGUGGAGUCUAUGAUGUUACCUUUCAUCAACAGGGGGUAAGUCAAAUUUAUAUUUUUGAUUUAUGUCAAUCGUGGAAUUGUUAUCGUCCUAUUUCUCCUGUUUCUUAUUAUGUAUUUAUUUUGUUUAAUCAAAUACUUAUUCACCCCAACAGCAGCAACAACAACAACAGCAGCAGCAAUAUAACACUGAAAGACAUUCACAGCAGCAGCAAUAUCAACAACAAUUCCCACAACAGACACCGUAUCAAAAUCAGCAAACAUGGACCUAUGUUGGACAACAACAACAACAGGCUAAUCCGCAAUUAAUUGCCAUCCCACUAAACCCUGAAGCUUUAGCAACGGGAGAAAUUGACAAAAGCAGACAAGCUGCUAUAAUGCCUCCACCCGCAAAAAGACCAUACGUUUGGGUAUGUUUCCUUAUUUGAUAAUCACAAAUUUUACACACCUUUUAGUUCAUUGUUCAUUGUAUUGAAAUCAACACUAGUUUGAUGCAAAUAUAAUAUAAAUCGUUUUAUCAGGUAUUUUCCUGAUUAUUUAUUUAUUUUUUUUUUUCCUAGGAUGAUGAUGCUGACUUUCAGUAAUUGGUAUGUUUCUUUUUUCUUAAAAUUUAAUAUUUAAAACAAUGGAUUGUUAUAGUCACUUCAAAUUAAAAGUUUUUUUAAUUACCAAUUCUUUCUCUUUUUCAGGACCAGGAUGAUUCCUCACCCCAAGAUUGAAAUCUUUACUUCUAUAGUACUGUUGUGUAAAAGUAGGUUAUAGUUUAUUUCGAUACACGAUGUGUGAAGUAGAAAACGAACAUUUUGUGUUUUCUUCGGAAAAGAAUCUGUGUUUAGCCAAUUUCAUAAUGUAGAAUUUAUAGAUGAAAAUGAUGUACACUACAAUUCAUGUGAGC
Molecule: long non-coding RNA, 959 nt
Organism: Ruditapes philippinarum (Manila clam)
Lineage: Eukaryota; Metazoa; Mollusca; Bivalvia; Venerida; Veneridae
Exons: 3
Source: RefSeq, a predicted model, not a curated record